This 252-nucleotide ribosomal RNA is filed under the name uncultured bacterium. RNAcentral describes it as "partial 16S ribosomal RNA". It matches the Rfam family "Bacterial small subunit ribosomal RNA", at positions 99 to 354 of the family's 1533-position model. The record is from RNAcentral.
CGGACGGGUGAGUAAUGUCUGGGAAACUGCCUGAUGGAGGGGGAUAACUACUGGAAACGGUAGCUAAUACCGCAUAACGUCGCAAGACCAAAGAGGGGGACCUUCGGGCCUCUUGCCAUCGGAUGUGCCCAGAUGGGAUUAGCUAGUAGGUGGGGUAACGGCUCACCUAGGCGACGAUCCCUAGCUGGUCUGAGAGGAUGACCAGCCACACUGGAACUGAGACACGGUCCAGACUCCUACGGGAGGCAGCAG